Molecule: ribosomal RNA, 328 nt
Filed under: uncultured Bacillota bacterium
Lineage: Bacteria; Bacillati; Bacillota
Description: bacterial SSU rRNA
Rfam family: Bacterial small subunit ribosomal RNA
Source: RNAcentral
GACGAACGCUGGCGGCGUGCCUAAUACAUGCAAGUCGAGCGAAGUGGAGAGAGCUUGCUCUCAAAACUUAGCGGCGAACGGGUGAGUAACACGUGGGCAACCUGCCUGACAGACUGGGAUAACUUGGGGAAACUCAAGCUAAUACCGGAUAAGAUCGCGAACCGCAUGGGACGCGAUGGAAAGUCUGAACGACACUGUCAGAUGGGCCCGCGGCGCAUUAGCUAGUUGGUGGGGUAAUGGCCUACCAAGGCGACGAUGCGUAGCCGACCUGAGAGGGUGACCGGCCACACUGGGACUGAGACACGGCCCAGACUCCUACGGGUGGCUG